CUAGCCGUAAACGAUGGGUACUAGGUGUUGGGGGUAUCGACCCCUCCAGUGCCGGAGUUAACGCAAUAAGUACCCCGCCUGGGGAGUACGGCCGCAAGGUUGAAACUCAAAGGAAUUGACGGGGGCCCGCACAAGCGGUGGAGUAUGUGGUUUAAUUCGACGCAACGCGAAGAACCUUACCAAGACUUGACAUCGUCUGAAUACUCUAGAGAUAGAGAGUUCUCCUUCGGGAGACAGAUAGACAGGUGG
Molecule: ribosomal RNA, 249 nt
Filed under: uncultured Pelosinus sp.
Lineage: Bacteria; Bacillati; Bacillota; Negativicutes; Selenomonadales; Sporomusaceae
Description: partial 16S ribosomal RNA
Rfam family: Bacterial small subunit ribosomal RNA
Source: RNAcentral